AACGAACGCUGGCGGCAUGCCUAACACAUGCAAGUCGAACGAGACCUUCGGGUCUAGUGGCGCACGGGUGCGUAACGCGUGGGAACCUUCCCUUAUGUUCGGAAUAACUCCCCGAAAGGGGUGCUAAUACCGGAUAAUGUCUUCUGACCAAAGAUUUAUCGUCUUUGGAUGGGCACGCGUUGUAUUAGCUAGUUGGUAGGGUAAAAGCCUACCAAGGCGACGAUCCAUAGCUGGUCUGAGAGGAUGAUCAGCCACACUGGGACUGAGACACGGCCCAGAAUACUACGGGAGGCAGCAGUGGGGAAUAUUGGACAUCGGGCGAAAGCAUGAUCCAGCACUGCCGCGUGAGUGAUGAAGGCCUUAGGGUUGUAAAGCUCUUUUACCCGGGAUGAUAAUGACAGUACCGGGAGAAUAAGCUCCGGCUAACUCCGUG
This 433-nucleotide ribosomal RNA is filed under the name uncultured bacterium. Its description in RNAcentral is "partial 16S ribosomal RNA". It matches the Rfam family "Bacterial small subunit ribosomal RNA", at positions 29 to 507 of the family's 1533-position model. The record is from RNAcentral.